GUUUAUUACAGAGUAUGAAAAUCAGGAAGCUUUUUGUUCACUUCAUACAUCUCUUCCUACAAAGCCAGACAUCAGACCCGAGCUCAGAUUCCGGAGUGAUUAUUGUUACACAUGAUCUAUGGAGCAGAUAAAUUGCAGCUUGAUUUUUAUAAGAAAUCUGUGAAGCAGUGUAAAAAAAAAUCUGAAACUGGAUUCUCCCACUUUGUUGGGGAGCCGGUUUCUCUUUUCCCCACUUUGCCUCCAUUCCCGGAGGGCGUAGCUACGAAAACCGGAGAGGCGAGAGCGGAGCGGCAGAGUCACGAGUGCAGAUCCAUGCAGGGGGGAGACCAUUUCAGCCUCCUGCUUUGCCUAGCUUUGGCAGUGACCUAAAGGAGGCAGAACGGAAAGCAAGGUAGAAGGCUUUUUGCGCAAAAUGGAACAGCAAUAAUUAAUAAUUAAUGAUGUUGCACCUUCUUUGUCAUUUUAGCUCAUCGUUCCUAGUAGUUAUUGCCUUCCAGUCCAAAUGUGUGUCUGUAGACUGACGAAUUAAUACAUGCAUGUUUUGGAGAUCGUAACGCAGCAGCCGAAAGGGUCAAGAAUUACAGUGCACGCUAGAAAUGCAAACUCCCCCCAGACCCAGCUUUACUUAGCAGUUCCUGCGGUUCUGGCUGAGGGAAUACUCUAGUGUGAAGCCAGGGUUUGGGAACCUGCUAGCAAAUCUAGGUGCUCCUUCUUCCAUCCUCUUGUAAAAGUCCCUAUCAAUCCUGUUGAAAUACCGCAGUUAAUAAUAACAGGAAAGGCUUAAAUUCUGAAUGCAAGGACAUAAAUACAGCUAACGAGAACUGUGUACCUUUGUGUCCAUUUCAGCCUCAGGGACUCAGCCAGCCUGCAAAGAUGCUCAUAUAUUUAGAAAUUUUGAGCUGCAAAUGCUCUUGCCACAAAAUAUAGCAAUAAUGCUAAGUAAAGGUUUAUCCUGUUGACUGUCCUGUGCUACUUGUGCAGUCACAGGCUCAUGCAUCAUGUUGUCUGGUGAAAGGUCUCAAAACUGCACAAUGCAGCUGAAAUGAGCCUCAAAACAUCCUGCUGACAUAAGUAACGUUAUGGUCCGGAGAUCAGCAAAGUGCAACGCUGGGGUAGAUUUUAGGAGCCCGAUUCUCAGGGGAAAUAGGUGUUUGAAGGUCUCUUACUCCCAGCUGGUGGUCUGGUGGUCUGUCUUCUGAUGACUUUCCUAUAUGAGUCAUAUUCUCAGGAUCAGCCUUUCCCAAGCAAACGGCAGCUCUAUAGGUUGGUUUAGGUUGGUGCUUGUUGACGUGGUUGUUUCACAUGCCCAGCUGCCGGGGCCCAAAUCAGCGCUGCCGCUUAAGUCACAGUUUAACUCCCAGCAAACCUG
RNAcentral lists this long non-coding RNA (1369 nucleotides) under Struthio camelus australis. RNAcentral's name for it is "lncRNA (ENSSCUG00000002802.1)". Lineage: Eukaryota; Metazoa; Chordata; Aves; Struthioniformes; Struthionidae. The record is from RNAcentral.